ACGGCGGGUGCUAACGUCCGUCGUGAAGAGGGAAACAACCCAGACCGCCAGCUAAGGUCCCAAAGUCAUGGUUAAGUGGGAAACGAUGUGGGAAGGCCCAGACAGCCAGGAUGUUGGCUUAGAAGCAGCCAUCAUUUAAAGAAAGCGUAAUAGCUCACUGGUCGAGUCGGCCUGCGUGGAAGAUGUAACGGGGCUAAACCAUGCACCGAAGCUGCGGCAGCGACGCUUAUGCGUUGUUGGGUAGGGGAGCGUUCUGUAAGCCUGUGAAGGUGUGCUGUGAGGUAUGCUGGAGGUAUCAGAAGUGCGAAUGCUGACAUAAGUAACGAUAAAGCGGGUGAAAAGCCCGCUCGCCG
Molecule: ribosomal RNA, 353 nt
Filed under: Shigella flexneri
Lineage: Bacteria; Pseudomonadati; Pseudomonadota; Gammaproteobacteria; Enterobacterales; Enterobacteriaceae
Description: bacterial LSU rRNA
Rfam family: Bacterial large subunit ribosomal RNA
Source: RNAcentral